GGGGAAGAAGCUGAUCGACAGAAUCAUCGAGACGAUCUGCGCCUGUUUUCAGGGACCUCAGACUGAUGAGGGGGUGCAACUGCAGAUCAUCAAGGCCCUCCUGACGGCGGUGACCUCGCAGCACAUAGAGAUCCACGAGGGCACGGUGCUGCAGGCGGUCAGGACCUGCUACAACAUCUACCUGGCCAGCAAGAACCUCAUCAACCAGACCACCGCCAAGGCCACGCUCACUCAGAUGCUCAACGUCAUCUUCGCUCGCAUGGAGAACCAGGCACUUACAAAUCACAAGCUCUCUUGGUCUCUGGCCUCCAGAAAGCGUGACCGCCAGGUAAAGCUGCAGGAAGCC
Notothenia coriiceps (black rockcod) is the source of this 346-nucleotide long non-coding RNA. RefSeq lists it as uncharacterized. The transcript has 3 exons. Lineage: Eukaryota; Metazoa; Chordata; Actinopteri; Perciformes; Nototheniidae. The record is from RefSeq and is a predicted model, not a curated record.